RNAcentral lists this RNase P RNA (342 nucleotides) under Vibrio parahaemolyticus. RNAcentral describes it as "Bacterial RNase P class A". It matches the Rfam family "Bacterial RNase P class A". Rfam says of the family: Ribonuclease P (RNase P) is a ubiquitous endoribonuclease, found in archaea, bacteria and eukarya as well as chloroplasts and mitochondria. Its best characterised activity is the generation of mature 5'-ends of tRNAs by cleaving the 5'-leader elements of precursor-tRNAs. Lineage: Bacteria; Pseudomonadati; Pseudomonadota; Gammaproteobacteria; Vibrionales; Vibrionaceae. The record is from Rfam by way of RNAcentral.
GGAGACUGACAAAGGGGAGGAAAGUCCGGGCUUCAUAGAGCAAGGUGCCAGGUAACGCCUGGGGGGCGCAAGCCUACGACAAGUGCAGCAGAGAGAAGACCGCCGAUGGCCCGCAAGGGAACAGGUAAGGGUGAAAGGGUGCGGUAAGAGCGCACCGGACGACUAGUAAUAGUUCGUAGCAGGGUAAACUCCACCUGAAGCAAGACCAAAUAGGCCUCCACAUUGCGUUGCUCGCGUAAGGAGGCGGGUAGGUUGCUCGAGCCAGUGAGUGAUUGCUGGCCUAGACGAAUGGCUACCGCCGCGCAAGCGGAACAGAACCCGGCUUAUGUGUCGGCUCCACCU